GGAUGGGGUCGGGUAAGGGCGAGGUUUCCAGCUGAGUCUCAGGGUAUCUGGCCCCUUUCUCGGGGGCUGAAGGAGGAUGUGGAGGGGCGGUGAGCUUUCGGCGGUGAGUUCCAUUCGGGACACACCUGCAGGGCCUGCAGGGCACCCAGCUGGAGCUUCUUGGCAGGGAAGUGGGCACCAGAGAGCGGGGGAAGGGGGGAUCUGGCUGACAUCAGCACACAGAGGGUAACUGAGUCACUGAGUGAGGAGGGCUGUGGGGGUGACAGGAGAAGCAGGCAGGGGCAGAACACGGAGGGGUCCCUGAACAUUCAGGAGUCGGGCAAGGAGCGCAAGGUCCUCAUCUCCUGGAGGGUUUGGCCGUGAACAGAGAGCAACAUUUUGAUGGUCAGGUGGUCAGGAGAGGGAUGAACUUUGGUGGGGUGGGGGGCAGGGAAACUGGACUUGUAGGCUUUCUGAACAUCCCACCAAGUGGCUGUCUGUUCAGCAGACCUGUCCUCAGGGCGACUGAUGUCUGCGGGAACUGACUCAGGUGCAGUCAGACUCUGAAGGCCUCUCUGGCUGCAGUGCUGAGCACCCAUGAUAGCGGCUGGAUGACCUGAAUUAUGGGAGUGUGCCGGUAACAAACCCUUGGAAGCAGCGGGGGCAUUGGCCUCCUGCUCCCCAUUUACCCUGUGCUCUCCCCGAUCAGCCGCGUGCCAGAAGCAGAUGUCGUGUGUUUGGAUCUGUCUCACUGCUGAAUUCACCUUCUGAAUUUUUCCCAGGUAUUGCCGCUCUCAGUGUGGUAGAAAAGGUGUCCAAUGGUGUUGUGCUGGAGCCGCCCCCACCAGCUCCUGAGAGCCAAUGGUUACGUGUUGAGAGUAUGUGUAUAGUUUCAAGCUCUGUGGAAGAAGAAAGAAGACUCUAUGCCAAGUCUGAGAUAUCCAACUCAAUUCAGCGAAGACAUAUUGAAGCCUGCUGAGCAAUAGAAUGUGAUUCCAUUCUUAGGAGCCCCACUGUUCAUUCAUUCCCAAACAUUAGGUUAGGGCCCCAUCAAGAGGAAAACAUAGCAAGUCUAAUACAGGCCAAGUGGAAGGGUUGCCAGAAGAGACAUGUAAGUACAUUCUGGUGCAGGUGUGAGAACGGGAGCUGGCCCCUAAAGUGGGAAGAAUCAACCUCCUGGAAGAGGUGGCACUGGCUAAGGGCCUGGAAGCACUUUGACAGGCA
RNAcentral lists this long non-coding RNA (1203 nucleotides) under Callithrix jacchus (white-tufted-ear marmoset). RNAcentral describes it as "lncRNA (ENSCJAG00000074622.1)". The record is from RNAcentral. Lineage: Eukaryota; Metazoa; Chordata; Mammalia; Primates; Cebidae.